Molecule: ribosomal RNA, 253 nt
Filed under: uncultured bacterium
Lineage: Bacteria
Description: partial 16S ribosomal RNA
Rfam family: Bacterial small subunit ribosomal RNA
Source: RNAcentral
CACGUAGGGCGCAAGCGUUGUCCGGAAUUAUUGGGCGUAAAGAGCUCGUAGGCGGUCUGUUGCGUCCGCUGUGAAAACUCGGGGCUUAACCCCAAGCCUGCACUGGAUACUGCCGAGCUAGAGUCCGGGAGGGGAGAGCGGAAUUCCUAGUGUAGCGGUGAAAUGCGCAGAUAUUAGGAAGAACACCGGUGGCGAAGGCGGCUCUCUGGAACGGUACUGACGCUGAGACGCGAAAGCGUGGGGAGCGAACAGG